This 375-nucleotide ribosomal RNA is filed under the name uncultured bacterium. Its description in RNAcentral is "bacterial SSU rRNA". It matches the Rfam family "Bacterial small subunit ribosomal RNA", at positions 521 to 896 of the family's 1533-position model. The record is from RNAcentral.
UAAGACGAACCACCCAAACGUUAUUCGGAAUUACUGGGCUUAAAGAGUGCGUAGGCGGCCCUGAAAGUAAGGUGUGAAAUCCCACAGCUCAACUGUGGAACUGCGCUUUAAACUACAGGGCUAGAGGGAUACAGAGGUAAGCGGAACUGAUGGUGGAGCGGUGAAAUGCGUUGAUAUCAUCAGGAACACCGGUGGCGAAGGCGGCUUACUGGGUAUCUUCUGACGCUGAGGUACGAAAGCUAGGGGAGCGAACGGGAUUAGAUACCCCGGUAGUCCUAGCUGUAAACGAUGAGCACUAGGUCGUAGGCCUGCACAGGCUUUCGGCCGUAGCGAAAGUGUUAAGUGCUCCGCCUGGGGAGUAUGGUCGCAAGGCUG